RNAcentral lists this ribosomal RNA (1448 nucleotides) under uncultured organism. RNAcentral describes it as "SSU rRNA". It matches the Rfam family "Bacterial small subunit ribosomal RNA". The record is from RNAcentral.
UGAACGCUAGCUACAGGCUUAACACAUGCAAGUCGAGGGGCAGCAUUUUAGUUUGCUUGCAAACUGAAGAUGGCGACCGGCGCACGGGUGAGUAACACGUAUCCAACCUACCGAUAACUCCGGAAUAGCCUUUCGAAAGAAAGAUUAAUACCGGAUAGCAUACGAAUAUCGCAUGAUAUUUUUAUUAAAGAAUUUCGGUUAUCGAUGGGGAUGCGUUCCAUUAGUUUGUUGGCGGGGUAACGGCCCACCAAGACUACGAUGGAUAGGGGUUCUGAGAGGAAGGUCCCCCACAUUGGAACUGAGACACGGUCCAAACUCCUACGGGAGGCAGCAGUGAGGAAUAUUGGUCAAUGGGCGAGAGCCUGAACCAGCCAAGUAGCGUGAAGGAUGAAGGCUCUAUGGGUCGUAAACUUCUUUUAUAUGGGAAUAAAGUUUUCCACGUGUGGAAUUUUGUAUGUACCAUAUGAAUAAGGAUCGGCUAACUCCGUGCCAGCAGCCGCGGUAAUACGGAGGAUCCGAGCGUUAUCCGGAUUUAUUGGGUUUAAAGGGAGCGUAGGUGGAUUGUUAAGUCAGUUGUGAAAGUUUGCGGCUCAACCGUAAAAUUGCAGUUGAAACUGGCAGUCUUGAGUACAGUAGAGGUGGGCGGAAUUCGUGGUGUAGCGGUGAAAUGCUUAGAUAUCACGAAGAACUCCGAUUGCGAAGGCAGCUCACUAGACUGUCACUGACACUGAUGCUCGAAAGUGUGGGUAUCAAACAGGAUUAGAUACCCUGGUAGUCCACACAGUAAACGAUGAAUACUCGCUGUUUGCGAUAUACAGUAAGCGGCCAAGCGAAAGCAUUAAGUAUUCCACCUGGGGAGUGCGCCGGCAACGGUGAAACUCAAAGGAAUUGACGGGGGCCCGCACAAGCGGAGGAACAUGUGGUUUAAUUCGAUGAUACGCGAGGAACCUUACCCGGGCUUAAAUUGCAACAGAAUAUAUUGGAAACAGUAUAGCCGUAAGGCUGUUGUGAAGGUGCUGCAUGGUUGUCGUCAGCUCGUGCCGUGAGGUGUCGGCUUAAGUGCCAUAACGAGCGCAACCCUUAUCUUUAGUUACUAACAGGUUAUGCUGAGGACUCUAGAGAGACUGCCGUCGUAAGAUGUGAGGAAGGUGGGGAUGACGUCAAAUCAGCACGGCCCUUACGUCCGGGGCUACACAUGUGUUACAAUGGGGGGUACAGAAGGCGGCUACCUGGUGACAGGAUGCUAAUCCCAAAAACCUCUCUCAGUUCGGAUCGAAGUCUGCAACCCGACUUCGUGAAGCUGGAUUCGCUAGUAAUCGCGCAUCAGCCAUGGCGCGGUGAAUACGUUCCCGGGCCUUGUACACACCGCCCGUCAAGCCAUGAAAGCCGGGGGUACCUGAAGUACGUAACCGCAAGGAGCGUCCUAGGGUAAAACUGGUAAUUGGGGC